AGCGAACGCUGGCGGCAGGCCUAACACAUGCAAGUCGAGCGCCCGUAGCAAUACGGGAGCGGCAGACGGGUGAGUAACACGUGGGAACGUACCCUUCGGUUCGGAAUAACCCAGGGAAACUUGGAUUAAUACCGAAUACGUCCGUAAGGAGAAAGAUUUAUCGCCGAAGGAUCGGCCCGCGUCCGAUUAGCUUGUUGGUGGGGUAAUGGCCCACCAAGGCUGCGAUCGGUAGCUGGUCUGAGAGGAUGAUCAGCCACACUGGGACUGAGACACGGCCCAGACUCCUACGGGAGGCAGCAGUGGGAAUAUUGGACAAUGGGGAAACCCUGAUCCAGCAAUGCCGCGUGAGUGAAGAAGGCCUUAGGGUU
This 368-nucleotide ribosomal RNA is filed under the name uncultured bacterium. Its description in RNAcentral is "bacterial SSU rRNA". It matches the Rfam family "Bacterial small subunit ribosomal RNA", at positions 29 to 424 of the family's 1533-position model. The record is from RNAcentral.